GACGAACGCUGGCGGCGUGCCUAACACAUGCAAGUCGAACGAGAAGUCCCGGCCUUGUGGCGCACGGCGAGUUGCGAAGUGGGGAUUUGCACUUGGGUUCGCUGUCACUGUCAGAGAUAUCUCCUAAUGCAAGAUGGUGUCUUACGGCAAAAGAUGUAUCGCUCUGGGAUGGGCGCGCGUAGGAUUCGCUAGUUGGUGGGGUAAUGGCCUACCAUGGCCAGGAUGCUUAGCUGGUGUGAGAGGAUGAUCAGCCCCGCUGGGAAUGAGACACGGCCCAGACUCCUACGGGAGGCAGCAGUGGGUAAUAUUGGACGAGGGGCGCAAGCCUGAUCCAGCAAUGCGGGGUAAGUGAUGAUGGCCGUAGGGUUGUAAAGCUCUUUUACCAGGGAUGAUAAUGACGGUACCUGGAGAAUAAGCUCCGGCUAACUCCGUG
This 433-nucleotide ribosomal RNA is filed under the name uncultured bacterium. RNAcentral's name for it is "partial 16S ribosomal RNA". It matches the Rfam family "Bacterial small subunit ribosomal RNA", at positions 28 to 507 of the family's 1533-position model. The record is from RNAcentral.